GUUUGUGUGUGUGCAUGGAAAAGACAACUGCUGGCGACCUCCGGCUUGAACCGGCGCCAAUGCCCCGUCUGUCGAUUAACCAGCAAUCAGUGUGUACGUGAGGCGCCUAGGUGCACUGGGAAGAUCAACAGCUGAUCAGCCGGGAGCAGCAAGCGACACAAGUUACGUGUUCCAGCAAACAAGCGCGGAAUCCAAACAACGUUUUCGAAAAAUACACGACUGGCUGAGCGCGCCGAUAUCUCAAUCCUUGUCGUAAUGCCACUGAGGCACCUGUCGCGUGUUUCGGCGUUUAUAAAUAAAUUCAGCUGAAUAAUGUGUUAUGCAGCAAGAGGAAAUGUCAACGAUAAAGCCCACGACUCGUCGUUUGCAACGCACAAAGAAGCCCCGCAAGCGGAAAUCUCAAUCCGUGCAUGUCCAUAAAUGCAAAUUCUCGCACAUCUCGGCAUGAGUUCCUUAGCGCCUAUUGUGUAUGCAGCGCAUUUGUGUUUCAUAACUGCAUUUGAGUUUCGAUAACAUCUAUUCACAGUAUACAUAUGUAUUUCUUGUGCUUUACAUGUGAAAGGCUUGUACCGAUAAUAUCGUUGCAAUACGAUACACAAUAUCGCAAUAAUUUUGUGCUUCCCAAGUGAAAGGCCUAGCAUCGAUAACCUCAUUACAAUACGAUAUUUAUACCGAUAUGAUCUUUGCAAUGAGUAUGCCACUUUACAGUGAUUCGAUAACAUCAAUUCAUUGUGUUCGCGGCUCAAUCUUACCGGCCGGCAGACUGAUCUGGCAACCAUGUGCCGCUUUACCAGAACAAACAAAAACAAAAACAACAGAAAGCGUAAACUGAAAAGAUGGAAGGAGCCUUGACCAAAGCAGAAC
This 864-nucleotide small RNA is filed under the name Drosophila mojavensis. Its description in RNAcentral is "GI26427". The record is from RNAcentral. Lineage: Eukaryota; Metazoa; Arthropoda; Insecta; Diptera; Drosophilidae.